This 471-nucleotide ribosomal RNA is filed under the name uncultured bacterium. Its description in RNAcentral is "bacterial SSU rRNA". It matches the Rfam family "Bacterial small subunit ribosomal RNA", at positions 28 to 496 of the family's 1533-position model. The record is from RNAcentral.
GACGAACGCUGGCGGCGUGCCUAACACAUGCAAGUCGAACGGAACUGUUUUGAAAGAUUUCUUCGGAAUGAAUUUGAUUUAGUUUAGUGGCGGACGGGUGAGUAACGCGUGAGUAACCUGCCUUCAAGAGGGGGAUAACAUUCUGAAAAGAAUGCUAAUACCGCAUGACAUAUCGGAAUCACAUGGUUCUGAUAUCAAAGAUUUUAUCGCUUGAAGAUGGACUCGCGUCCGAUUAGUUAGUUGGUGAGGUAACGGCUCACCAAGACCGCGAUCGGUAGCCGGACUGAGAGGUUGAACGGCCACAUUGGGACUGAGACACGGCCCAGACUCCUACGGGAGGCAGCAGUGGGGGAUAUUGCGCAAUGGGGGCAACCCUGACGCAGCAACGCCGCGUGAAGGAUGAAGGUUUUCGGAUUGUAAACUUCUUUUAUUAAGGACGAAAAAUGACGGUACUUAAUGAAUAAGCUCCGG